This is a long non-coding RNA of Oncorhynchus keta (chum salmon), 1328 nucleotides long. RefSeq lists it as uncharacterized. NCBI's taxonomy places the organism in Eukaryota, Metazoa, Chordata, Actinopteri, Salmoniformes, Salmonidae. The transcript is spliced from 3 exons. The record is from RefSeq and is a predicted model, not a curated record.
GCUGGCAGCAUGUGAGAGAAUGAGAGGUGAUGUAGGGGAUAGCUGGCAGCAUGUGAGAGAAUGAGAGGUGAUGUAGGGGAUAGCUGGCAGCAUGUGAGAGAAUGAGAGGUGAUGUAGGGGAUAGCUGGCAGCAUGUGAGAGAAUGAGAGGUGAUGUGGGGGAUAGCUGGCAGCAUGUGAGAGAAUGAGAGGUGAUGUAGGGGAUAGCUGGCAGCAUGUGAGAGAAUGAGAGGUGAUGUGGUGGAUAGCUGGCAGCAUGUGAGAGAAUGAGAGGUGAUGUGGGGGAUAGCUGGCAGCAUGUGAGAGAAUGAGAGGUGAUGUGGGGGAUAGCUGGCAGCAUGUGAGAGAAUGAGAGGUGAUGUGGUGAAUAGCUGGCAGCAUGUGAGAGAAUGAGAGGUGAUGUAGGGGAUAGCUGGCAGCAUGUGAGAGAAUGAGAGGUGAUGUAGGGGAAAGCUGGCAGCAUGUGAGAGAAUGAGAGGUGAUGUAGGGGAUAGCUGGCAGCAUGUGAGAGAAUGAGAGGUGAUGUAGGGGAUAGCUGGCAGCAUGUGAGAGAAUGAGAGGUGAUGUAGGGGAUAGCUGGCAGCAUGUGAGAGAAUGAGAGGUGAUGUAGGGGAUAGCUGGCAGCAUGUGAGAGAAUGAGAGGUGAUGUAGGGGAUAGCUGGCAGCAUGUGAGAGAAUGAGAGGUGAUGUAGGGGAUAGCUGGCAGCAUGUGAGAGAAUGAGAGGUGAUGUGGGGGAUAGCUGGCAGCAUGUGAGAGAAUGAGAGGUGAUGUGGGGAUAGCUGGCAGCAUGUGAGAGAAUGAGAGGUGAUGUGGGGGAUAGCUGGCAGCAUGUGAGAGAAUGAGAGGUGAUGUAGGGGAUAGCUGGCAGCAUGUGAGAGAAUGAGAGGUGAUGUAGGGGAUAGCUGGCAGCAUGUGAGAGAAUGAGAGGUGAUGUGGGGGAUAGCUGGCAGCAUGUGAGAGAAUGAGAGGUGAUGUAGGGGAUAGCUGGCAGCAUGUGAGAGAAUGAGAGGUGAUGUAGGGGAUAGCUGGCAGCAUGUGAGAGAAUGAGAGGUGAUGUAGGGGAUAGCUGGCAGCAUGUGAGAGAAUGAGAGGUGAUGUAGGGGAUAGCUGGCAGCAUGUGAGAGAAUGAGAGGUGAUGUGGGGGAUAGCUGGCAGCAUGUGAGAGAAUGAGAGGUGAUGUGGGGGAUAGCUGGCAGCAUGUGAGAGAAUGAGAGGUGAUGUAGGGGAUAGCUGGCAGCAUGUGAGAGAAUGAGAGGUGAUGUAGGGGAUAGCUGGCAGCAUGUGAGAGAAUGAGAGGUGAUGUAGGGGAUAGCUGGCAGCAUGUGAGA